This 938-nucleotide ribosomal RNA is filed under the name Microbispora amethystogenes. Its description in RNAcentral is "bacterial SSU rRNA". It matches the Rfam family "Bacterial small subunit ribosomal RNA", at positions 47 to 1001 of the family's 1533-position model. Lineage: Bacteria; Bacillati; Actinomycetota; Actinomycetes; Streptosporangiales; Streptosporangiaceae. The record is from RNAcentral.
UCGGGAGCAUGCAAGUGGAGUGGGAAGGCCUUUUGGGUACUCGAGCGGUGNACGGGUGAGUAACACGUGAGUAACCUGCCCCUGACUCUGGGAUAAGCCUGGGAAACCGGGUCUAAUACCGGAUACGACCAUUUCUCGCAUGGGAUGGUGGUGGAAAGUAUUUUCGGUUGGGGCUGGACCACCUCCUAAAAUUACGUCGGAAUGGAUGGACCCACCUCUAUGGACGACGACGGGUAGCCGGCCUGAGAGGGCGACCGGCCACACUGGGACUGAGACACGGCCCAGACUCAUACGGAAGGCAGCAGUGGGGAAUAUUGCGCAAUGGCCGGAAGCCUGACGCAGCGACGCCGCGUGGGGAAUGACGGCCUUCGGGUUGUAAACCUCUUUCAGCAGGGACGAAGUUGACGUGUACCUGUAGAAGAAGCGCCGGGUAACUACGUGCCAGCAGCCGCGGAAAUACGAAAGGCGCGAGCGUGGUCCGGAAUUAUUGGGCGUAAAGAGCUCGUAGGUGGCUUGUCGCGUCUGCCGUGAAAGCCCGUGGCUUAACUACGUGUCUGCGGUGAAUACGGACAGGCUAGAGGCUGGUAGGGGCAAGCGGAAUUCCUGGUGUAGCGGUGAAAUGCGCAGAUAUCAGGAGUAACACCGGUGGCGAAGGCGGCUUGCUGGGCCAGUUCUGACGCUGAGGAGCGAAAGCGUGGUGAGCGAACAGGAUUAGAUACCCUGNUAGUCCACGCUGUAAACGUUGGGCGCUAGGUGUGGGGUCUUCCACGACUUCUGUGCCGUAGCUAACGCAUUAAGCGCUCCGCCUGGUGAGUACGGCCGCUAGGCUAAUAACUCAAUAGCGACUGACGGGGGCCCGCACAAGCGGCAGAGCAUGUGCAUUAAUUCGGACGCCACCGCNGGAACCUUACUAGGGUUUGACAUACACCGAAACACUC